This 441-nucleotide ribosomal RNA is filed under the name uncultured bacterium. RNAcentral describes it as "bacterial SSU rRNA". It matches the Rfam family "Bacterial small subunit ribosomal RNA", at positions 338 to 795 of the family's 1533-position model. The record is from RNAcentral.
CCUANGGGGGGCAGCAGUAGGGAAUCUUGCGCAAUGGGCGAAAGCCUGACGCAGCGACGCCGCGUGCGGGAUGAAGGCCUUCGGGUCGUAAACCGCUUUCAGCAGGGACGAAAUUGACGGUACCUGCAGAAGAAGGCCCGGCCAACUACGUGCCAGCAGCCGCGGUGAUACGUAGGGGUCUAGCGUUGUCCGGAAUCAUUGGGCGUAAAGAGCUCGUAGGCGGUUCGGCAAGUCGGAUGUGAAAUCUCCACGCUCAACGUGGAGGGGCCAUUCGAAACUGCCGUGACUCGAGUCCGGUAGGGGAGUUCGGAAUUCCCGGUGUAGCGGUGAAAUGCGCAGAUAUCGGGAGGAACACCAGUGGCGAAGGCGGAACUCUGGGCCGGAACUGACGCUGAGGAGCGAAAGCGUGGGGAGCGAACAGGAUUAGAUACCCUGNUANUC